This 598-nucleotide small RNA is filed under the name Scytinostroma odoratum. Its description in RNAcentral is "eukaryotic LSU rRNA". The stretch from base 201 to 354 matches the Rfam family "5.8S ribosomal RNA". Lineage: Eukaryota; Fungi; Basidiomycota; Agaricomycetes; Russulales; Lachnocladiaceae. The record is from RNAcentral.
UUAGAGAAAAAAACAAAGGAGGGGAAACCCUUCUUUCUCUAAAACACUUCACCCCAACUUGUGCACCUUUGCGUAAACCAGUAGGAUUGGCUACCUUAACAAAGUGGCUUCAUCCGAGCGUUUGCGAUUCAACUAUAUAUACCCCAUUAGAAAGUCUUUGAAUGUAAAUCAUUAUUAUGCGUUAUUCGCAAAAUAAAUACAACUUUCAGCAACGGAUCUCUUGGCUCUCGCAUCGAUGAAGAACGCAGCGAAAUGCGAUAAGUAAUGUGAAUUGCAGAAUUCAGUGAAUCAUCGAAUCUUUGAACGCACCUUGCACCCUUUGGCAUUCCGAAGGGUACGCCUGUUUGAGUGUCGUGAUUUCCUCCACCUAUAGAAUUUAUUCUAAAGGCUGGGUUUUGGGGGUUUAAAUCUGCAGGUUUCUAAUCUGCUCCCCUUGAAUGCAUUAGUGAAGGCUUUUCUUUGUUACUUGCAAUCGUUAAAGGCGUGAUAGAUCUCUAGUAGAACUACGUCUGUUGAUUGUUAAACGAAAGAAGAGACUUUGCUUCUAACUGUCUUUGGACAAAACAUUCAAACUUGACCUCAAAUCAGGCGGGACUAC